CCUACGGGGGGCAGCAGUGGGGAAUAUUGCACAAUGGGCGAAAGCCUGAUGCAGCAACGCCGCGUGAGGGAUGACGGCCUUCGGGUUGUAAACCUCUUUUAGCAAGGAAGAAGCGAAAGUGACGGUACUUGCAGAAAAAGCGCCGGCUAACUACGUGCCAGCAGCCGCGGUAAUACGUAGGGCGCAAGCGUUAUCCGGAAUUAUUGGGCGUAAAGAGCUCGUAGGCGGUUUGUCGCGUCUGCUGUGAAAACUGGAGGCUCAACCUCCAGCCUGCAGUGGGUACGGGCAGACUAGAGUGCGGUAGGGGAGAUUGGAAUUCCUGGUGUAGCGGUGGAAUGCGCAGAUAUCAGGAGGAACACCGAUGGCGAAGGCAGAUCUCUGGGCCGUAACUGACGCUGAGGAGCGAAAGGGUGGGGAGCAAACAGGAUUAGAUACCCCUGUAGUC
Molecule: ribosomal RNA, 445 nt
Filed under: Microbacterium binotii
Lineage: Bacteria; Bacillati; Actinomycetota; Actinomycetes; Micrococcales; Microbacteriaceae
Description: bacterial SSU rRNA
Rfam family: Bacterial small subunit ribosomal RNA
Source: RNAcentral